This 116-nucleotide ribosomal RNA is filed under the name Pteropus alecto (black flying fox). The record is from RNAcentral. Lineage: Eukaryota; Metazoa; Chordata; Mammalia; Chiroptera; Pteropodidae.
GUCUACGGCCAUGCCACCCUGAAUAAGCCCAAUGUCUGAUCUCAGAAGCUAAGCAGGAUUGGGCCUGGUUAGUACUUAGAUAGGAGACCACCUAGGAAGACCAGGUGCUGUAGGCA